Pseudonaja textilis is the source of this 846-nucleotide non-coding RNA. The record is from RefSeq and is a predicted model, not a curated record. NCBI's taxonomy places the organism in Eukaryota, Metazoa, Chordata, Lepidosauria, Squamata, Elapidae.
AAACAAAAUUUUAGCCAGCAAAGUUGCAAGCCUUGAGAAAAUCACUCUUCGAAAAGAAAUGAAGAGGAAGCCCAGGAUGGCCUGCCCAAGAGGAAGAAGACAUUUCUGAUGAGAAACAGCCAGCUGGAAAAAGACCAAGGAAAACAUAGUGAAUUAUGAUAUCUCGAUUUCAAAGAUACCUGUACUCCUUUUUUGGGACUCCCCCUGCUUCCUGCCAAGAAGAUCAGCAGACAUGGAGUUCAAAUUCUAACUAUAGGCAAAAUAUCCAUUUUCAAUCCAAUCAGAAACAUAUCUACCAACCAAUCAAUUGAAGAGACUGCAGUGAAUCAGUCAAUACUUGAUAAGGAAGACACAGUGCACUUCUGGGUGCAGAUAUGGGAUAACCCAAAGAAAUACAACAAGGACACAGCUUGGUUAAAGGAGGUGAAUAAGAAUAAAAAAACUGAAAUGAAAGAACAUGUAAUAACAGAAAUGGUAGACAAAAGAGCAAGGAAGAUCAAGAAUUGGUCAGCACCAAGUGAAGAGAACUACAUGGUUUGGGGGUUCUAACAUCUGACUGGGCUAACACUCAUGGUUGCCAAGCAGUUCAACAACAUACUGCAAGGAAGUGAAAUUGAAAAAUGGCUAACAUCUGGCAAAACUUACCUGAUAAUGAAAUAUCCAGUAAAAGGGGCAGCACCAGGGAAGUACAGACCUUAUGCUUAUGGCGACUCAUAAGCUUAAAGCUGAUGGAAGCCAGGAAAGGUCUGCUUUCUGUACUGCCCAGUUCUGGCCCUAGCACUGUGUGAGGGAGUUGGCUCCCAUUACUCCCCUCAGCUUUUGCCAGCCUAGGAGUUCAAAAGCAUG